This 253-nucleotide ribosomal RNA is filed under the name uncultured bacterium. RNAcentral's name for it is "partial 16S ribosomal RNA". It matches the Rfam family "Bacterial small subunit ribosomal RNA", at positions 524 to 776 of the family's 1533-position model. The record is from RNAcentral.
UACGGAGGGGGCUAGCGUUGUUCGGAAUUACUGGGCGUAAAGCGCGCGUAGGCGGCUUUGUAAGUUAGAGGUGAAAGCCCGGAGCUUAACUCCGGAAUUGCCUUUAAGACUGCAUCGCUAGAAUUGUGGAGAGGUAAGUGGAAUUCCGAGUGUAGAGGUGAAAUUCGUAGAUAUUCGGAAGAACACCAGUGGCGAAGGCGACUUACUGGACACAUAUUGACGCUGAGGUGCGAAAGCGUGGGGAGCAAACAGG